RNAcentral lists this ribosomal RNA (763 nucleotides) under Celeribacter halophilus. RNAcentral's name for it is "bacterial SSU rRNA". It matches the Rfam family "Bacterial small subunit ribosomal RNA", at positions 69 to 879 of the family's 1533-position model. The record is from RNAcentral. Lineage: Bacteria; Pseudomonadati; Pseudomonadota; Alphaproteobacteria; Rhodobacterales; Roseobacteraceae.
GAGAUCUUCGGAUCUAGUGGCGGACGGGUUAGUAACGCGUGGGAACGUACCCUUCACUAUGGAAUAGUCCCGGGAAACUGGGUUUAAUACCAUAUACGCCCUUCGGGGGAAAGAAUUUCGGUGAGGGAUCGGCCCGCGUUAGAUUAGUUAGUUGGUGGGGUAAUGGCCUACCAAGACUACGAUCUAUAGCUGGUUUGAGAGGAUGAUCAGCAACACUGGGACUGAGACACGGCCCAGACUCCUACGGGAGGCAGCAGUGGGGAAUCUUAGACAAUGGGGGCAACCCUGAUCUAGCGAUGCCGCGUGAGUGAUGAAGGCCUUAGGGUCGUAAAGCUCUUUCGCCUGUGAUGAUAAUGACAGUAGCAGGUAAAGAAACCCCGGCUAACUCCGUGCCAGCAGCCGCGGUAAUACGGAGGGGGUUAGCGUUGUUCGGAAUUACUGGGCGUAAAGCGCACGUAGGCGGAUUAGUCAGUCAGAGGUGAAAUCCCAGGGCUCAACCCUGGAACUGCCUUUGAUACUGCUAGUCUUGAGUUCGAGAGAGGUAAGUGGAAUUCCGAGUGUAGAGGUGAAAUUCGUAGAUAUUCGGAGGAACACCAGUGGCGAAGGCGGCUUACUGGCUCGAUACUGACGCUGAGGUGCGAAAGUGUGGGGAGCAAACAGGAUUAGAUACCCUGGUAGUCCACACCGUAAACGAUGAAUGCCAGUCGUCGGGUAGUAUACUAUUCGGUGACACACCUAACGGAUUAAGCAUUCCGCCUGGGGG